RNAcentral lists this ribosomal RNA (253 nucleotides) under uncultured bacterium. RNAcentral describes it as "partial 16S ribosomal RNA". It matches the Rfam family "Bacterial small subunit ribosomal RNA", at positions 524 to 776 of the family's 1533-position model. The record is from RNAcentral.
UACGUAGGGGGCAAGCGUUAUCCGGAAUUACUGGGUGUAAAGGGAGAGUAGGCGGCAAGGUAAGCGAUAUGUGAAAGCCUUAGGCUUAACCUGAGGAUUGCAUAACGAACUAUCUAGCUAGAGUACAGGAGAGGAAAGCGGAAUUCCUAGUGUAGCGGUGAAAUGCGUAGAUAUUAGGAAGAACACCAGUGGCGAAAGCGGCUCUCUGGUCUGUAACUGACGCUGAGGUUCGAAAGCGUGGGUAGCAAACAGG